Cucumis sativus (cucumber) is the source of this 3567-nucleotide long non-coding RNA. RefSeq lists it as uncharacterized. The transcript is spliced from 3 exons. Lineage: Eukaryota; Viridiplantae; Streptophyta; Magnoliopsida; Cucurbitales; Cucurbitaceae. The record is from RefSeq and is a predicted model, not a curated record.
UCCUUUUCUUUUCUAUUUCCUUUUUCUUUCUUUUCCCUAUUUCCUUCUUCCUCCCCGUGCGUCCUUCCCCUUCUCCCCAGCCGCAACCGCCGCGCCUCUUCUCCUUCCUCCCGUACGCCGCGACGACUCCACCGUCUCCUUCUCCCUUCCCUUCCGUUUCCUUUCCGCCGCAGCCCAGCCGCAGCCAGCCGUCUUUCUCUUCCGUUUUCUUCCCGCCGCAGCCUAGCCGUAGCCCGCGAUCUGCCGUAUCCAUCUCCGGUUCGCGAAGCAACCUUGCAUCAGUCGUCCCGCGCGCCGAUCUGCUGUCUCCAUCGCCGGUUCUGUCUUCGUCGAAGCCCGAGCUGCCGUGUGAACCAGUAACCGCCACGUUCGCCGCUCACAACCGCCGUGAAGCCAGCCGCGCAACCUUCGUUCCAACCGCUGCACUGCCGCGCGAUUCUCCGGCCACGUCUUCUUUAGCCGACCGCUGACCGACCCACACUUAGGAUUUUGCUGCGAGUUCGACAGUCGUGCGUUGAGUGUUGGGAGUAACCUUGGGCUCCCUUAAAUUCACAACCAAAUUGUGAAUUGUUGAGGGUUCAGUUCGCCAAUAUUUCGGAUUUGAUUCAUUGGAUUUAGUCGAUUGAAGAAUUUGCAUAGAAAUCGAGGUAAGGGAUUUUCUACUGGACUCAAUUGUGAUUGUGAACUGUAUGUGUGUUGAAUGUAUACUGUGGUUUGACUGAAAAUAUAUAUGAAUGCAUGUGAAUUGAAGUAGACAUAACGUCGAAUGUAUAUCGUGAAUGUCAUGGAAGAUAUAUAUAAGUGUGUGUAUGUUGACAGGACAAAGAUUGUAGAUUGUGUUGGUUGGUAUGAGAUAUAGAUAUGAACUUGUGAUUCUCGUUUAGAUUGGGUGUACGAUUACGCUAAAGUAUGAUUGGGUUAAUAAGGAUUGGCCUGUUUCUUGUUUGUUGUUUUUUCUUAGUAAUGGUAGUGUGUGAAAGGGAAUUUGAUAACUCUAUAUAUUGUUUAAUUAUGGUUUUGAAUUCUGUUUUGUGUCUUUAAAAGGACGUUGAACUUCAAAAUCGUUUUAAUAGGGUCCUUGAACUUUGAUUUUUUCUUUAGGGGAAGAGGUGUGUAAGGGAUUUUGAUUUUAGUCAUUGAAUGCCAGUGUGUAGCACCCACCUCUAGGUGACGGAUUUUCAGCAGCCACCGUCGCCCUCUUCCAAUUUUGUUUUCGACAACCCUCUCUAUUCUAUGUUGCUGUUUCCAAUGGGGUUGUAUUAUCUUCUGGAGUAUACAUGUUGGAUUUGUUGUAGAUGUAGCCAUGGUUGCUUCCUCCUUCGUUGCUUAUUCUUAACUUCAUGUAACUUAUAGCCAUCUAAUUCGUUUCUUCUUCCUAUUUUUUCUCCUCUUCUAAUGGCAUCUUUCAUUCUCUACAUCCAACUUGCGCAACCGUGAUAUAUUCUCCAAGGUAAGUAUCUCUUUAAUGGACGUCAAAAGACUGCAUCUUGAAAAAUGAUUUCAUCCAAGAUAUAUUCAUAUGGGCUUUUUUAUUCCUUUGAAAGAAUGUCAUUCAUAUAUUACACAUCCUUAUACCUGAGUUUACAAGGUUGUUAUAGUACUUUCGCGUUUCAUGAGUGAAAAGAUAGAAUCAAGUUGCGGAAUUACGUUCAUUUUUAGAGCUCUUAAGUGAUUGAAGAUAGUUGAUGUAUAUUUAUUUUCUCAAAAGUCACAUUUUUUGCAAGUUUGGUUUACUUUGGAUUUAUUAAAGAUAAUACCAGUUCACUUAUUGAUUCCAUUCAUUCCCGAAAAAAUUCUUUAAAAAAAUUUAGUUUAACACCAAGAAUCGCUUUGAGGAUUUAUCUCCUUAAGGGUUGUCGGAACCAUAUACUGAACAUCUACAAUACGUUUGAUCAUAGUUAACUUUACAAUGAUCUAGUUGAUAGUCUUCCUAUUUGUUGAGCUUCUCUUUUAGAUUGAAGGAAAGGGAAAGACUUGGCUAGGUUGUGGCAAGCAAACUUCUUCGCUAUUAUGUGGAGAAAUUUAGAGGGGAGGCUAGGGAGUUAGAGAGUUUUUUUGGAAAAAAAAAAAAGAGACGGGACUUUACAUUAAGAGAAUGAAAAAAAAGACCAAUGUUCAAAGAAGUGAAAAAGAGCAACAUAGCACAAAAAAAAAGACAUAGGAACAUAAUGCAAAAAGUAAGCUAGAGAGGUGAUAAGGAUAAUUAGUAUAUUUUAGUUAAUUGGUUAAUUGUCUUAUUUUCCUGUAAGGCUAUAGAUAGCCAAUUUAGAGUGUAUUUGAACCUCUUGAAUAUCUUUCCAAUAUAGAACGUUGUUCUUGGAGAGCUUUUUCUCAUCUCUAAGGAAUGAGAUUUCUCUUGUUCCAGAAUGGAUUUGGCAUGGUACUCCAACCUGCUGCAUCAAGAGGUUUAAUUAUUCAGUUUGGGCAUUGAUCACUAGGACUUUUUGUAAUUGUGAUAAUGAUCUUGUUCUUUUUUAUUAGAUUGUUUUAUGUGAUUAGUCAUUGACUCCUUUUUAUGAGUAUUACGUCUUUUUUUUGUUUUUCUUAUUGCAAUUUGGUUUUGGUAUUUCUGUUGUAUGUCUUUUUAUUAUUAUUAUUGCAAUUUGGUUUUGGUAUUUCUGUUAUGAAUAGAGUUUUGUUUGCCCUUGGUUCUUUUAUUUUUUCAAUAAACGUUCGGUUGCUUAAAUAAAAUGGUUCUCUGGACAGAAGUGAAUUGUGAGUUUACUGAAUUUGGUAAAUUUAGAAGCAUUCCUCUGUGCAUCCUCUAGUAGAUUUUGGAUUUUCCUCUUCCACUGGAAUGGAAUUGGACCGAGAAAAGUUAAUGUGUUCCAGUUAUUUUACGGUGCUGGCACUUACAUGUUUGGAAUUGAUGAUGAACGAAUAAUUGAUGCUACAAGGGCUGGAAGCAUUGCUCAUUUGAUCAACCACUCUUUCGAAUAACUGUUGCUCCUCACAGAAGUGUUCAAGGAUAAAUAAAGGUUCAUAUUAGAAGUGGACGUCCAUUAGUUUUGGUAUGUAUGUAAAUUAUUUUAAAUCUAAGUAUCUGAUUUCCUAAUAGUUGAAAACCUUAGUUUAUUGACAAGAAAUCAAAUGGUUACUUCUGAAGUUGGUUGAUUGUAUUUGGUUAUGUCUACUAAUGAGAAUGACUUUACCUUAAGGGGAUAGACUUUAGUUUUGGUAUCUCCAAUUGAGAAUUUAGCCAUUGUGCUUACUCUUUAUGGAGUAUCUAAAGACAAGAAAUCGACACUCCAAUGCUAUGAAAAUUUUCCUAUAAGCUGAUGAUAUGUGGGGAAGAUAUUCAUAGUUCAUCUUUAUUGGCGAUGAUUGCAUAAUACAAACUGUUUAACUCUAAGGAUUACAAAUUGUCGUACAUGUAUUGUCGUAGGCUGUUUUGUUCUAAGGACUAGGAACAACCCAAGAAGUUGUUCAAUUUGCAGUGGCCAUUUGGUUGGACGUUCUUCUUCUCCUUGAUCUCUUUCUCCUCUUCUUAGGAACUUCAUUUUCAUUAUCAGAUUUGAAGAGGGACCACCAUGAGUGGGGUAGUAAAAUGAAUAGAGAAUGGGAGAG